Molecule: long non-coding RNA, 3430 nt
Organism: Macaca fascicularis (crab-eating macaque)
Lineage: Eukaryota; Metazoa; Chordata; Mammalia; Primates; Cercopithecidae
Source: Ensembl
UUUUUUUUUUUUUUUUUUUUUUUUUUUUUCCUUUUGUGGAGAACGGGGUCUCGCUAUAUUACCCAGGCAGGUCUCGAACUCCUGGGCUCAAGCUAUCCUCCCGCCUCUGCCUCCCUGAGAGCUGGGAUUACAGGCGUGAGCCACCGCGCCCGGCCUUUUUUUUUUUAAACAGAGUCUCCCUCUGUGGACCAGACAGGAGUACAGUGGCCCGAUCUCAGCUCACUGCAACCUCCUCCUCCUGGGUACAAGUCAUUCUCAGUGCCUGCCGAGUACCUGGAACUACAGGAGCAUGCCACGUGCCCGGCUAAUUUUUGUGUAUUUACUAGACACGCAGUUUUGUCAUGUUGGUCAGGCUGGUCUUGAACUCCGCACCUCAAGAGAUCCACCCACUCAGGUCUCCCAAAGUGCUGGGAUUACAGGCAUGAGCCACUGUGCCCAGUCAGCUGGGGGUUCUUAAGGGCACUCCCCCUUUCCCCACCUCUGUGUCCCUGGAAGCCCCAUUUUCCAGAUGGUGUAGCUAUAAGAAACAAGCGACCCUGCAUCCCUGGGAGUGGGUCUGAAGAGCAACUAGACCCCUCAGGAGACUUCUGAUGAGUGAAAAGUAAACCUUUAACAGUUUAAGGGCUCAGGUGUCAUUCGCUACACUAGCAUUGUGGAACCUAUCCUGACAAACACAACCUGAUUUAGCUAUUUCUCUUUCACAACUGCAGAAACGUUUUUUAACUUUGCACCGUAAACAGGUAGAAAAGGAUAAUAGAAGGAACAAUGUAAUUUACCGAAUAAAUCAUUUAAAUACAAAUCGAUAUACGAAAAUCACAAAUAGUAUAUUGUAUGACAGGAAAAUGUUCUUUAUGUAGUUCAGUUCUGACUUUACUUUCCAAACCUCACUCAAAGUAAAGAAUUAAUAAAAUCUUUAGCCUACUGUAUCUAGAUAAAAUAUAUUUGUCUUUGCCAAGCCUAAAUCCUCUUCUUUUCUCCAACAUGGCCAUGCAUCAUUAACAUUCCAUCAUGUGGGUUCUCAGAUGGAUAUGGUUUCCAUGUCCAUUGCCAAUCAGAAGUGGAUUAAUUACUUAUGUGUAUUUGUUGCUUAAAAUUUACUUAUUAAGUGCAUCAACUAAAUUUCUGUGACAUUAUUCACUAAUUCUUUCCAUUUGUUACUGCACAGAUGUGUGCAAUGCUGAAAUACAAAGAGAUUUCCUCUUCUGUGUGCUUUGGGUUCUGCCCUCACACACCUGGGUCCAGCACCUAUGGGAAGGAUGAAUCACAAAGCUUUGAUGGAGGGGAUGAGUGAUGGAAAAACAACUUCCACAGAGGCCGUACACUUAGCAGAAGUCACUGAUCUAUACUAUUUGCUGAUCUACCCCUGAAGCAUUCUCUCUGACAGCAGAAGGCCAGUUUUUGCUAUUGAACCAUUUCAAAAUCACUGUUUGAAAGCUACAUAUGCACAUAAAGAAAGGGCAGGGAACAUUUUCUUUUCAUGGGUUCUCAAGCACUACAGAGACUCUUUUGUCAGUUACUAUGCCUAUACUAACCAAUCUUACAGCGGCCUCAAAUCUUUUUUGAAACAAUACAUAAGCUAGCUACAGUUUGCUUCUCCCAUGAGUAGAGUACAGUUAAUAACAUUUCUUAUGUUUUAACACAUCACCUUUCCCUUAAUUCAUAGACCAAAUAGAAAAAAAAAUAAUGUACUGUAUUCUUUUUCCUGUUGCAUUUUCAAUAAUUCACUGAACAAAUCCACAUAACAUUCCUGGAGUCGAGUGGAAGAACCAUACGAAAUGCACCCAUUGAAAUCUUUUUCAGUUCUAUUUGGUAUUUAUGUGUCCCCAUUUUGAAAUUGGGCCAUGCUGCUUUUGUUCCUAUAGAAAAGAAGUUAUGAUUUAAGAAAACUUUACAAAAGGGAAGCUGAUCUUGAUGUUAUCAAGCUUCCCUCUUUUCUUUUAGCAGAAUAUUUGAGAAAAUGCCAAUUGGUGUCGCCUAUCAUCAGAGCUUUUCAAGAUUUGAUUACUUUUGAAAAUUAACUUGCAUAAAACUACCUGACCCUCUUUAACAGAUAAUAUUAUAUUCCCCUCUGAAAGGUUUGCACCCACAUUUGUCUCUGUGCACUGAAAGAGUAAGACCAUAUCAAAUGGUUUAGAUGAAAUGAUGCCAUAACUAACAUGUUCUCCCUUUUUGGGGAGAGCAUUGGUAUAAACUCAGGCAUUCGGCUGGGUGUGGUGGCUCAAGCCUGUAACCCCUGCACUUUGGGAGGCCAAGGCGGGUGGAUCACUUAAGGUCAGGAGUUCAAGACCAGCCUGGCCAACAUGGUGAAACCCCAUCUCUACUAAAAAUGCAAAAAUUAGCCAGGCAUGGUGGCGUACCCCUGUAAUCCCAGCUACCGAGAGGCUGAGGUGGGAGAAUUGCUUGAACCCCGGAGGUGGAGGCUGCAGUGAGCCAAGAUCGUGCCACUGCACUCCCGCUUGGGUGACAGAGUGAGACUCCAUGUCAAAAAUACAUACAUACAUACAUACAUACAUACAUACAUACAUACAUACGUAACCUAAACUCAGGCAUCCAUAUUCUUUCAUGGUGAAUGUUAACCGGAAUGCCUUUUUUGUUCAGACUGUCACUGGAUGUUUUUAUAAUUAGAAGAUUCACUUUAAAAUGAAAGUCUGAGGUUGAUGAGGCAGAACCAGCUAUUUUUAAAGGGAAAUUCUUAUUAGUACAAAAUAUUGCAGGACAAACAAAAUGAAUUUUUAAAGGCAGAUUAACCAAAUUGUUCAUUAUUGUAGUAAACAUUUGCAAAAAUCAAGAGGAUGGACUAUAUUAGCCAUAUUAUGGACAUAUUAGCCAUACCCAAGCUAGAGAAUGAAGCACUAUGUACCAAUUUAUGUACAAUAAUUGUUCAUACUAGCAUUUUCAUAGUUUGGGCAGGGACUCAUUUUGUUCCAUGUGACCUUUGUUGUCCAGGAUUGGUUGCUAUUAGAAAAUAGAAACAAUAAAAAUAAAAUAUUUUAUUUUAAAGGAUUUUACUAGGCUAGCUUUGGGUUUUUAAAAAUACUUGAACAUCAAGGGUAAAGCAGAAAACUAGUUUUAGGGAAUCUGGUACCUUUACAUCUUUACAGUAAUUUGAGUAUUUGAAAAGUAAUAUUGUUUCUUUUCUUUUUUUUAAAGGACAUUUAGUAAGGUAUGUUUCAGUGGCAUAUCAUUGUAGCGUUUAAAAAGAAUGACCAUGAAAAUCAAAUUAGGUAAACAUAGUCUUUUACCUUUUUUUAAUUUUGCAUUUCUAACAUUUUGUUUUCCUUUGGAUGUAAAUGGGUAUGUCAGAGGAGGGGUAUAUUUCAAAGAAAGAGCUUAAUAAAGUAAUUUACUGACAGCAGGUCACCACUAAUAAGCAAAUAUUUUAUAAAUCAUGAGACUGAGUAGAUUACAAAAGAAGGGGUGAAAACUGCUG